Long non-coding RNA from Ostrea edulis (European flat oyster), 2746 nucleotides. RefSeq lists it as uncharacterized. The record is from RefSeq and is a predicted model, not a curated record. NCBI's taxonomy places the organism in Eukaryota, Metazoa, Mollusca, Bivalvia, Ostreida, Ostreidae. The transcript has 3 exons.
UCUCUCUACAAUCCAAAAAUUACACCGUCGCCUUGAUUUCAAUAGUCUCAUACGAAAUUCUUUUAAAGUAAAUCCACAGAGUUCGAAAUUUUAUCAAUAAACUCAAUAAAAUUCACUCGAUUGACCAAGCCAUGACUUUUGAGUCGAUCGAGUGAAUAUAUGGACGAUAUUGAUUUUUUAAACGUGGAGCAGUAGAUUUAGAUAAAAUUACCAUUUUGAAUAUUUGAGAGAAAUCCCCAGUCGUAAGUUUAGUAAAUCUGAAACAUCAUCUAGAACAAACAAUAGUUUGAAUCGCCUGGUGGGUGUAGACCAUGCACUAAGUACUAUUACUGAAAAGUCUUUUUCAUCUUCAUCAGACUCUGUCUAAUAGUCGAUUCCACUUCCGGUGAUGUUUGAUUUCUGGUCGUCGUACAGGAGUUCUCUAUUCUUCCAGUGUUUGUCUAAUCUGUUGUUGAAGGUGUUGACAGUUGCUGCAUUGACUGCAUUACUCAGAUCCUUUAAAUUUGUUACAAAAGAAAUCAAGGAGAAGUAGGAAGUAAGAAUGGGAGCCAGAGGAAACGUCUUAGUAUUCCAAACGGAGCCACCAUUCCAACUGGACCCAAAGUGUACAGCUAUUGAAACAACUGCAGUGCCAUUAAAGUGACCAUCACAAGACUGAGUUUUUAAUUAUAUUUCAUUUAUUUUUGUAAUAAUUAGAAACUAAAAUGAUGUAAAAAUAAUAGAUAUGUAAAGUGUAACAUUAUCUGUUAUAUUUCCUGACAACAAAACGUAUUAUGAAUAUGACGAACAACAGCGGUCCCAAAACGGAUCCUUGUGGAAUCCCAGAUGUCACGUUUGACCAGGAUGAGUACUCAUUAUUGACGGAAACUUGGUGAACUCUUAUAUUGUAGAUAGCUGCUUAUCCAACUAAAUAUUGGUUCCUCGAUGCCAUAUGCUUUUAGUUUGUUCAUCAAUCUUUUCUGUGGUACUGUAUCAAAAGCUUUCAUGUAAUACGUAUACAUGUAUACAACAUCUACAGAUUUCCCAUUAUCUAGAGCUUCUGUCCAUCUAUCAAGUACGUUUAAAAGUUGGAGUGACGUAGACCUCCCCGAAAUGAAUCCAUACUGUCGGUCAGUAAAGAAUUUAUCUUUCUUCAUAUGUUUAACGAUGUGUUCCUGUACAAGUGUUUCCAUGACUUUGCAUACUACCAAUGUUAAGUUGACUGGUCUAUAGUUACCAGCUCAAUAUUUUUUUCCUUUGUUGAAGAUUGCACUGAUUUGCGCUUCUUUCCAUCUAUUUGGUACCGUCUUUGUUGAUAACGAUUUUUUGAAAAUCAAUUGGAGCGGCCCUGCUAUUGUAUCUGAUAGUUCUUUUAGCACUCUCGGGUGUAUUUUGUCCGGUCCAGGUGAUUUAUCUAUAUUUAGUCCUUUCAAUAUUUUAGUACGGCUCUCCACGGUAAUUUCUUAACUUCCCACGGUCGUUUUAGUGUUGUGUAUAGGUAGAUCCGGUAUAGCAUCAUCAGGUUCUUGUGUAAAUACACUAUUGAAAAAAUUGGCAAGUAUUUCCUGAAGCUUUUCCUUUGUCGCCAUUGGUUUUCGGUGAAUUUUCGUCGUUUUGGUCAUUAAGGAGCUCUCCUAUUCCUGAUCGUGUUUUUUAUUUCGAUUUUAUGAAUUUCCAUAUUGCCUUCGGAUUUUCUUGGCUUUAUGUGUGAAGUCCUUUUCAUGUUUUUUUUUUCAACUUCCUUGUCUGUGUUUUAACUAAUUGGUUUCUUACUGUGUUAUAUUCAAGUCGAACUUCAGGGUCUUUGGUUGUAAUAUGUUUCCUGCACAAUGCAGGCUUUUUCUUAAUUUUCUCUAUAAUGUCUUUUUGUCCAUUAGAAAUUCACUCCUUUUCUCUGUUGAUAUUCCUGGCUUACGACUCGGAAUGUACCUUUUCUCCAUCUUAUUUAGUUUUUCUAAGAAUGUUUCCCAGUUUCUGAUUAUGUCGUCAUUUGGAUUUAGUACGGUAUUCCAGUUGGUGUUUGCUGUCUCCUUGUCGAAGUCAGAGUAGUUUCCUUUACAGUAACACAUUCUUGUCCUAUUGUUAAUUUUCAGUUUCGUAUAACAGUUGUAAUCAAAAUGUGUGACACAAUGGUCACUCUUUCCUAAUGGGCUCAUGUAUUCAAGGUCACUGAUCAUGCUUUCUUCGUUAGUUAACAGAAGAUCGGGUAUACGUGCGGCGUAUCAGAUCCUCUCCAUCGUGUUACAUGUCGAUUUAAGAAAUUAUCUUGAACACAUUGCAGGAAUUUGCAUUCGUCUGAUUCGGUGUUGUCAUUUUUAGUAUUGCAUGCUUUCCAGUCUAUAUCUGGGUAGUUUAUAUCUCCCAUCAGUGAAACGUGUGUGAACUGUUUCUUUGUCGACUCAUCUAUGAGUUUAGUAAGUCUGAAUUAUUGUCUUAUUUAACAUUCUCUGGUCGUGAUCUGUAUAACAAGGUAACUAAUUAUGAUAGUACUACAUAUAUGAUGCUGUAUGGAUAUAUAAGUUAUAAUAGUACUAUUAAUAUAUCAAAACAAAAUGUUCAAUAAUUUGCUGCACUUGCUAUGUGAAGGAAAGAAUAAAGUAUUGGAAGUUUGGAACACUUUUUAAAACAAUUAUAAAUGUAUGCUAUACUAGUAUUUAAGAUGAGGGUUUCCUUAUGAAAUAUUUUUCAUAAAAUGGAAAAAUGAAAAUAUUUUAUAGCAAUUCAUAUUGUUGUUCGAUCUUAAUUGUAAGAAUGAUUUAUAACGUAA